CCUGGCAGACGGUCCUGUUGUGGGAGGGAGACUUUUACAUUGCUGGGGGGGACACUCGUCUCUGAAAUGAAACAGAGCCUUCGGUCACUCCCCGUGGAUUAAAACGGAAACUUUGAACGAUGGCUGUGGACAUGAAAAAGUAGCGCGAGAAAGCAGCACGCGAGCCGCCGCCGCCGCCAACGGUCCCCGCACCGCGCAGCAACUCCUCGUAACGGUAGAUUCGCCGCUGAAAAAUAUGCUCCAGCCGAGCCGCCUCAACCCCGGCUUCAGUCGCAGAUUCGCAGUGUUUUAACCAGUUUCGCGAGACAUUCGUCAGCUACUAUUUGUUUGUUAUUGUUUUUUUUUAACCCGUGAAGUCCACUGUACAAGUAGCCGACACACCUGCGAGAGACAAUCAUGGCAAGGAGGCAGACAGAGGCGGAGGGCGCGGGGAUUCUGCUGGUCACAGCCAACGUUGGAUCCCUCUUCGAGGAUCCUGAAAAUCUACAGAAAACAUGGCUGAGAGAGUUUAACCAGACAGUACAAACACAGAAACCUCAAUUCCUGGCAGUGCACUGCCAAGAGGUGGGUGGGAAGAAUUGCAAGGCAUCCAUGGCACACGUGAGGAGUUUCGUCGGUGAAUUGAUGUCCAUCGAUGCCAUGAAGGAGUUCAACAGAGCCCGCAUCUACAUCGAUGAGAACUACGACUCCCAGGAGCAUUUCACAGCUCUUGGAAGUUUCUACUUCGUCCACGACUCUUUGCUAGACAUCCGCCAGUUUGAUUUCAAAGCCUUGAGAUUCAGGAGGGUGCUGGGGAGGGAAUCCUUCUCGGAGCUAGAAAGGACAACCACGCUACAGAAGGAGAAGUUUCCACAGCACUACUUUCCUGAGUCUAAGUGGUCCAGGAAAGGAUUCACCAGGACUCGAUGGUUUUUGGGAGGACGUACCUUUGAUCUGGUCAACAUCCACCUUUUCCAUGAUGCUUCCAACCUAGUGGCCUGGGAGAAAAGCCCCUCAGUCUACUCCGAAACCAGAAAAAAGGCCCUGGACUUUGUUUUAGACAGGAUCUCUGACUGGCGGUAUCAGAAGUUGCCAUAUUUUGUGUUUGGAGACUUUAACUUCAGGUUGGACUCAAUGCAGGUUAUUAAGAGUCUCUGCACCUCUGCCAUCGAGCAGAAAUUCCGAAACACAGACAAUGAAGUUGAGAAGAUAAUAUUCCGAGAAAGUGAUAACGACAAAAAGGUUAUUCUUGAACUUGAAAAGAAGCUUUUUGAAUAUAUCAACCAGGACGUUUUUCGGCAAAACAAUGGGAUCUCACUUCGAGAAUGUGAUAAAGAGCUGUCAGCGUUCAAGGAUAAACUGAUUGAGAUGGACAUCUGUUUCCCACCCAGCUACCCGUACAGUGAAGACAGCAGUGAGGGGAAUCAGUACAUGAACACCAGAUGCCCCGCCUGGUGUGACCGAAUUCUCAUGUCUCCCUCAGCCAGAGACCUGCUUGAUUGUGACGAUAGUGCUAUAGUCUAUAAUAACAUUGGAUCCAAUGUCUGCAUGGGGGACCACAAGCUGGUCACACCCCAGUAAGAAGAUGAAGACGUAAUAGUGUCUGUGCAGAGAAAGGGGCUCCAGUCUGCGCCGUGUCAGACAGAGGGUCUUCAAGUGAAAGAGAGGCGCCCUAAGUCAAGUCUUUCAUCAGUAGUUAGUGUGACACAGACAGUUGUGUGUGUGCCCACGGUGACCUGAGCACACGGAUGGCUCCUACCCCAGGCCUCACCUCCAGACCACACACUGCUGCUAAAGUCACAGCUGGCUAUGUUUAAAAAAUGUCCAGUGUAGUUAGCACACAGACCCAAAUAUGCCCAGCGCCGCCCGUCUUCCUGUCCUUCCAGUUACCACGAAAGCAACAUAUUUGUUUGUUGCAGUGAUGUCGUGGGACGUGUGGCCGAAUGGGGGAGAACAUAUUCUACGUGACCGGAGAAACACAUCAGACAUCAACGUACACACACACACACACACACACACACACACACACACACACACACACACACACACACACACACACACACACACACACACACACACACACACACACACACACACUUUGCACGAGCGUACACUGAAGAAACGCAGACAGACCUGUUUUCAGCAGUGCUGACCAGUUGCUGAUAGCUGAUCCAUAGAAACAACCCAGCUCCCUCCCUCCCUCCCUCUCCAUAAAACACUUGUUGAGUGUGGACGAGCACCCGAGGGCCCCGUCUCCAAGACAAGACACACAUCGCUGACCUCACUGUUGCCAUGCAACCGCAUUCUCCACAGAAUAGAGAGGACGAACGACUCCUUUCCACACAGCAGCCUCAUUGCCAAAACUCUAAUGAAAAGCUACUACAUACUUGUAAACACCAUACUUGCCAUUCUUAGGUAUGCCUCUAUGUAUAGAAGCUACUUUCCAUACAGUAUGUAAGGUGUUUAAAAAAGAAAUGUGCAAUGCAAAAGAGUUAUGUCUAUAAUGUUAGGUUUAUUUGUACAUUGGACAGUAUAACAUAGAGUUGUUGAUGGUUUUAGUGCUGUUUUCUUUUUUGACCAAACUCCGUGGUCCCUUUGUUGGAAUAGUAGAACUUCUCAGUUUAUAACAGUUUAUAUAAAUAUAUAUUUUUUUUUCUUCCAUUUUGUUUUUGUUUUGAUGUUGUGUGCACAACACACUGCCAUGCCUGACACAUCAGUUCAUUUUAUAUACUGUACUUUUUAAGAAGUUAAUUUAUAAUUGUUACCAAAAUGUUUGUGCUGAAGUGGGGAUGUCCCUGCAGCCUCAGCGACCUGCGAGUCGUCCAGAGCAGAGAACCAGAAGCUCUUCAGUGAUUUAUAGCCUGUCUGAGAAUGUUUAAGCAGUGCCAUAGACCAUGCAAGUAUAUAAGAUAAUGUUUCCUAUAUAGCACUCUCACGUUAUUAUUCUCACUCUAACUUAUUUCUAUAAUAUUAUGGUUCUGAAUGUCUUGUUUUAGGUAGGCUUGGGUAUCCUUCAGAUGUAAACUGUCGUGUUUCUAUUUUUGUUACUGCAUUAUGGUGCCAAGUAUCUUACACGAAAGAGAAGAGUUUUAAAAUACUUCAAGGCAGAUGGUGAAGGUGUUCACUAAGCGUGAACACGAGAGAAACUCUAAAACGCUGGACUUGCUUUGUGCCUGUUCUGGACGUAGCCCUCAGCAGCCUCCUUUGCCAAUGAUUGGAGCAUUACAGGCGGAACCCAGAGACGCCAUCGCCUCUCGUUCUUUGUCUUUUUGUUUAGUCAAUAUUCUUUAUAACACUACAGAUUUUUAGACCGUGUAAAGCCGUCAGAUCGAUCCUCUGUGUGUGUUUUUAUGAUUUAAAUCACUGCAAGUGGAGCUGUGUUGUUUUUUUUUUUUGUUUUUUUUUUUUUUUUUUGCCCGCCUCUGGGUUCUUGUUGUCUUGUGUGAUUUGGUUCUUAGGCAAACGAAAAAAAAGAAGUUGGGUGAAAAAUAACUUGCUUGUUUUUGUUUCUGCUGCUCGUUGUGAGUUUACUGUAGGAAAUAAGCCGCAGUUUUUAAUUCACUCCAUCGUAUAAAAGCAGAUAGAGAUUACAUUCUCCCUUCCGGACGGCCUCUUCUGUAGGUGAUGCACUUCUCAAGCAAUAAAAACCGUUAGAGCUCAA
This is an RNA transcript of Betta splendens (Siamese fighting fish), 3640 nucleotides long. It is a transcript of the gene named inositol polyphosphate-5-phosphatase A-like, with no coding region annotated. The record is from RefSeq and is a predicted model, not a curated record. Lineage: Eukaryota; Metazoa; Chordata; Actinopteri; Anabantiformes; Osphronemidae. The transcript has 17 exons.